RNAcentral lists this ribosomal RNA (186 nucleotides) under Bacillus velezensis. Its description in RNAcentral is "partial 16S ribosomal RNA". It matches the Rfam family "Bacterial small subunit ribosomal RNA", at positions 1 to 183 of the family's 1533-position model. The record is from RNAcentral. Lineage: Bacteria; Bacillati; Bacillota; Bacilli; Caryophanales; Bacillaceae.
UUAUCGGAGAGUUUGAUCCUGGCUCAGGACGAACGCUGGCGGCGUGCCUAAUACAUGCAAGUCGAGCGGACAGACGGGAGCUUGCUCCCUGAUGUUAGCGGCGGACGGGUGAGUAACACGUGGGUAACCUGCCUGUAAGACUGGGAUAACUCCGGGAAACCGGGGCUAAUACCGGAUGGUUGUUUG